RNAcentral lists this ribosomal RNA (270 nucleotides) under uncultured archaeon. RNAcentral's name for it is "partial 16S ribosomal RNA". It matches the Rfam family "Archaeal small subunit ribosomal RNA", at positions 477 to 747 of the family's 1478-position model. The record is from RNAcentral.
CAGCACCUCAAGUGGUCAGGAUGAUUAUUGGGCCUAAAGCAUCCGUAGCCGGCGCUGUAAGUUUUCGGUUAAAUCUGUACGCUCAACGUACAGGCUGCCGGGAAUACUGCAGCGCUAGGGAGUGGGAGAGGUAGACGGUACUCGGUAGGAAGGGGUAAAAUCCUUUGAUCUAUUGAUGACCACCUGUGGCGUAGGCGGUCUACCAGAACACGUCCGACGGUGAGGGAUGAAAGCUGGGGGAGCAAACCGGAUUAGAUACCCGAGUAGUCC